AUGCUUCGUCGAUAUUCACAUUUUUACUCGAUUCGAUAUUCUUCCACAUUAUUAUCUACUUUAGACGGACUCACAAAUCGAACAAGUGGAGAUAAGUUACUCACUUAUAGCGAGAAGUUUUCCAAAUUAUAUGCCAAUUCCACGCCAGAAACUCGAAAAUCGAUUUUCGUAGAUCUCGUCACAAACUAUGGUGUAAACAAAGAAGCCCUAAAUCAUGCGAUUUCUCUAUAUUCUAAGUUCAGAAUGAUCAAAUGUACCCGGAAGUAAGAACAUCAGCAACAGCUUCUUAUGUGAAUUUGAUAAAAUCAAUUGGAAAUUUACCGGGAGGAGUUAUGCAAGUCUGUGAAAUGAGGGCUAAUAUUUUGGCACUUCUAAAACGGGAAACUGACAAAACUACAACAUCAUAUCUCCGUCACAUUGAACUGGCCACUAGAGAAGUAUUAACUUCAUGGUUUUCUUUAGGAAAUCUAAAAUUGGAACGACUUACGUGGUCAUCUCCUGGAGAUAUUCUACAGAAAGUCGCCGAAUAUGAGGCAGUUCAUCCAGUUAGAGGACUUUCAGAUUUCAGAAAACGUCUUGGUCCGUUGAGACGAUGUUUCUAUUUUUCCCACGAAGCUCUUCCCCGGAACCCACUUGUGAUGGUUCACGUGGCAUUAGUUGAUGAGAUAGCGGAUAGUGUACAAGAAAUCACAAAAAGAGGAGCACCGACUGGAAAAGAAGAAGAUCAAACAACUGCAAUUUAUUAUUCAAUCACUUCUACACAGCCUGGUCUUUCUGGUAUUGAUCUCGGAAAUAUGCUCAUCAAGAAAGUCGCCACUAAACUUCAAAAAGAUGUUCCAUCAGUCACAACUCAUUCAACAUUAUCUCCGAUUCCUGGUUUCCGACCUUGGCUUAUCAGAAAUCUGAAAGGGAAUUCAGAAUAUCCUUCAAUUAUGAAUGAAAAGGUUGUCAAUUGGAUUUCUGAUAUAUCUGAAAGGGAAAUGAACGAAGUAGAAGCAACCGAAACUCUACUGAAAGUCAUAAGCAAUGAAAAAACGAAAAAGGAGCAGCUCAAUGCAAUCCAGCACAUUUUGAUGUACGCGUGUGCUCAUUAUCUUUGUAAUGCAAAACGAAAUGGAAUGGCUUUAAAUUCAGUUGCAAACUUCCACAUUAGAAACGGCGCAGAGUUGUAUAGACUGAAUUGGAAUGGAGAUACGAGUCAUAGAGGGAUCAAUAACAGUUUUGGAAUUAUGGUAAACUACAGAUACGAUUUGGAGAAGGUUCACGAGAACAGUGCAGCUUACACUGAACACAAAAAGAUGGCGAUUAAUCAGAAAGUUUUGGAUAUCUUCUGA
RNAcentral lists this unclassified non-coding RNA (1334 nucleotides) under Caenorhabditis elegans. Its description in RNAcentral is "Non-coding transcript of protein-coding gene mlcd-1". The record is from RNAcentral. Lineage: Eukaryota; Metazoa; Nematoda; Chromadorea; Rhabditida; Rhabditidae.